UUUUUUUUUCUAUCAUCCUCUUCUUUUUUUUUUUUGAGGUUCUUGGCUUCUUUUUUUUAUCUUCUGUUUUGCUCAAAUUUGUGUUAUGAUUUCUCAUCUUUGCCAGGAGAAAGUUACUAAUCCUCUAUUUGAGAGGAGGCCGAAGCAAUUCGGUAUUGGUGGAGCUUUGCCUCCUAAGAAGGAUCUCUCUCGGUACAUCAAAUGGCCUAAAUCAAUCCGUCUUCAAAGGCAGAAGAGGAUCCUUAAGCAGAGGUUGAAGGUCCCCCCAGCUCUUAACCAAUUCACCAAGACUCUUGACAAGAAUCUUGGUAUGUCCAUUCCCUUCUCAAUGGCUUUUCUUUUUUGUUUUUGCUCUUUACUCUUCAAACACCACACAUUGUUUUCGAUUUGCUCUGUUUAUUUCUUGUUAUCGAUAUAUUUCCCAGUUUUGUAGAUUUUCUGGUUUAUCAUGCGUUGUUGCUGCAACUUUAUGACAAGACUUUGGUUUGUUUAUGUAUUUCUGUCUCUUAAUUCAGUGCCUGACUAUAUUCAUUAUUAAUGAUUGCAGCCACCAACCUCUUCAAGGUCCUUCUGAAGUACAGGCCAGAAGACAAAGCUGCCAAGAAAGAUCGUCUUCUCAAGAAAGCUCAAGCUGAAGCUGAGGGAAAGACUUCCGAGUCUAAGAAGCCCAUUGUUGUGAAAUAUGGCCUC
Molecule: long non-coding RNA, 690 nt
Filed under: Capsella rubella
Lineage: Eukaryota; Viridiplantae; Streptophyta; Magnoliopsida; Brassicales; Brassicaceae
Description: long non-coding RNA (CRUB_LNC003478)
Source: RNAcentral